ACUGAAGGCAAAUCUCGCACGCACUCUGAACUGCCCUCCUGAAAAGGCUUUUAAUCGUAUUAUUUACUUAUUUAUACCUUUCUACCGAGAAACAGACGCAUCAGAUUGUUGCAAAACGAAUCCCGAUUGGCCGGCUGCCCUUGACCUUUGACCUACAAUGAAGUAACAUUCUAGUUCCACGCACAUUCCACAGUGAUCUUUGUAGUCUGUGAGAGGUUACGACCUGUUAUAUCACCGUAACCAUCAGAACAUUUUGUACGUGGGAAAAGGAAAGAGGAGAAUGAAGACAAUAGCCCAUAUGUUCUCGUGAGAGGACGACGGAAACAGCCAAUGGAUAACCAUGAGAGGCCCCUCUCUCUGCAUCCCUUACUUCCGUUCAUGCCUCUUCGAUCUUCCUUUCACUACGUCACUCCAUCAUAUUUCUCUUCCUUUAUCUCAACGUUGGCCGUCAAUCCUUACAGCUCACAUGCCUGCGCACAAACACGACACAGAACCGCUCUUCUCCCGCUGUGUGCCACAGGGCUGAAUUGUCUCAUGUGAUCAGACUAACACAAUCAAACUUGUAUGUUAUUUUUCUCUUAUGCAUACACACGCACGCACACAGCUAGCCUUCCAGGCCUGAAACAGAAGCCUCUGCUAUACUACUCAGGCAGACACACCCAAGUAAAACAUGAACUCAUCUCCUUACAAACCCAAAUAUUAUAUUUAAAAAAAAAAGGCUGGCCGUCAUAGAUGGCUGAACAUUUCCAUGACUUACUGCGGUAACUGUAGAGACCAGAAAUCGCCUACUGCUAUUAGGUUAAGUAGGUUAUUGGCUGGGCCAUAAAUUGUUUUGUGUUGCAUUUAUGUUUUUCUUAAUAGAGCAGCAAAAUGCUACAGUAAAUGGAGUUCAUUUCGUUUCUCUCAUCAUUUAUGCACGCUUUCCGACCCCGUGUGAGGGAAUGGCCUUGCCUCGUUCUUUUUAUUUAUUUAUUUUUGCCACAUACAAUGAAAAUGAACGGUGCACACAGCCUGUCGUUCUUUUGUGUUCCGGAGAAGAAAGAAAGUCACAGGCUGCAGGCUUGCAACAACAGGACGAGUACACGAAGCGUUCCUUCGGCGUAGAACCAAGUGCCUGACACACAUUUCUCCUCGUUUACACGCGAAUAUAACGCUCGACCUCAUGCGGACAAACUGUUUACCUCGCUGGUGCCUCUGACGUCACGACACACCCCUCGCGCGCGUGAGCGCGUGUGAGUGAGCGUGAGUGUGUGUGCGCGCGCAGCAG
Molecule: long non-coding RNA, 1267 nt
Organism: Puntigrus tetrazona (Sumatra barb)
Lineage: Eukaryota; Metazoa; Chordata; Actinopteri; Cypriniformes; Cyprinidae
Exons: 3
Source: RefSeq, a predicted model, not a curated record